GUUAUAAGGAGUAGCAGUAGAAUUGAAUUCCCGUAUUGAUCAGAAUCGAGACUCGAUUCUUGAUUGAAGUGUAGUGAGUGUAGUGUUUCCUGGGACUUCGCUGUCAGCAUUUAUGGAAUGACGGAAAGGUCUUAGAGCACAGUCUUGUCCUUUGUGGACAGGGCUGCUAAGGGAUCUCCUGGAAGUCAUUCCCAACUUUAGCCAUCGAUGGACCAGGAGCGUAAAAGCAAAAUGUAAAGGUCAAAGUGAGUCGUUUCGAUUUAUCAGCUGGCACUGAUGAUAAUCGUGAUGAAUUCCGUGGGAAACGCAAAAGUUUGUGAAGUAACUUAUGUCGAUAGAAUUUUGGAGGGUUAGUUUGCGACGUGGGUCAUUAUUUUCGGGGUGAUUCCUGGGGAAAUUUUUUCUAAAUUCCUUCAAGUACAAAUUUUCUUCAUUCACGACACUAGGUAUCUUCUCAUCUUUUCGAUAUACUUCUGAUAGUCCUUCAGUAGCGGUCCAAUUAUUUAAAUCGAAGUACAAUAUUUUGUGGAGUAACUUUAUGUCGAUAGAAUUCUGGAGGAUUUGUUUGCGAAGUGGGUCAUUAUUUUCGGGAAAAUUCCUGGGGAAAUUCCUUCGAAAUGACCAUGUCAUCUUUGAAGAAUUUUCUUGUAGUGCUUUCCUCAGAAUGAAUGAACCUUCAAGAACACAUUUUCUAUAUUCACGACACUAAGUAUCUUCUCAUCUUAUCGAUAUACUUCUGAUAGUCCUUUAGUAGCGGUAUAAUUAUUUCAAUGGAAAUGCAAUAUUUUGUGGAACAACUUUAUGUCGAUAGAAUUCUGGAGGGUUUGAUUGCGAAGUGGGUCAUUAUUUUUGGGAUGAUUCCUAGGAAAAUUCCUACGAAAUGAUCAACUCAUCUUCGAGGAAUUUUCUCUUGAUGCUCUCCUUAGAAUCAAUGACUCUUCAAGAUCAGAUUCAACAAAUUUGCGACUAAAGUUUUUUCUCAUCUUAUUGAUUCAUUUCUUAGCGUAAUUCCGUUUCGACUAAAUUAUUAUUUCGUCGCGAUAUAAGUGUUGAGUGUACAAAAAAGGUAAAGAAAGUAGGUACAAGACAAGAUAAUAAGUAUAUUCGAUAAUGUCAUAUAUUUUAUAUCAUUCGAAAUUGAAUUUUGAUAUACGUUACUGACAAAAUGGGUAGUAUUGAAGAUUCAAUACGUAAAUAUUUAACGCAGUAACGUAUUAUCUGAAGAACAGAAGAUAAUCAUUUAUUUUUCAGUAGAAAGUUAAUGGAUCAGAUAGUUUGUCUCGAAAGAUUUUGUCCUCAGAACUGAAUAUAUAAUUAGAUACUGCACCUGUCACUCCUGUCAGCACCUACAACAGCAUGACAGAAGUUGGUGGCAAAAGUCUAAACAACAUAAGUUAUAAGUAGCAGC
This is a long non-coding RNA of Coccinella septempunctata (seven-spotted ladybird), 1408 nucleotides long. RefSeq lists it as uncharacterized. NCBI's taxonomy places the organism in Eukaryota, Metazoa, Arthropoda, Insecta, Coleoptera, Coccinellidae. The transcript has 3 exons. The record is from RefSeq and is a predicted model, not a curated record.